GUUAAUAACAGCCACCAAGUCUUGCAAAAUCCACACACCUCAGAAUGACACUAAUGCUACUUCCUCACAACACAAACAUUCUUGUGGAACACAUGUAUACAAUUUCCAACCAUGACAGUAAUAAUAACUCAAUAUAGCUCUUCUUUCCCAUUUUCUUUGUUGAUAUGUAGCACCCGAAAUUAAUCAAAAUUCAACAAAAAAUCAUUUGUAGAACCACUAUUGCUUCUAAAAUUCAGAAUUGUUACCAAAAUUCACAAUUCCUUUUGCAGAGUCCAAGGUAGGAAACACGUUUUCGAUGGGACGACACAACUGAGAUGAGAGAUACAAUGGGAUGAUAAAGCCGAAAUUGAAAAUUGAAAUCCCAAAUCAAAAUAAUAAUCGUGACUAAUUUAUGUGUUUUUGGGAUUUAGGGUUUUAGCUGUUUCUCUGUAAAACAGAUAUCGAAAACAUGAUUGAGAGAAGAGGUCGAAAAUUCAGAAGAUUCAUGAUAAGAAAUUGUUGAUGAAUAG
Molecule: long non-coding RNA, 509 nt
Filed under: Medicago truncatula (barrel medic)
Lineage: Eukaryota; Viridiplantae; Streptophyta; Magnoliopsida; Fabales; Fabaceae
Description: long non-coding RNA (MTRU_LNC004760)
Source: RNAcentral